CGGCGAGUGAAGCGGUAACAGCUCAAAUUUGAAAUCUGGCUCCUCUGGAGUCCGAGUUGUAAUUUGUAGAAGAUGCUUUGGGUUGUGGGUUCGGUCUAAGUUCCUUGGAACAGGACGUCAUAGAGGGUGAGAAUCCCGUAUGCGGCCGAGGCCCGCGCCUAUGUAAAGCUCUUUCAACGAGUCGAGUUGUUUGGGAAUGCAGCUCAAAAUGGGUGGUAAAUUUCAUCUAAAGCUAAAUAUGGGCCAGAGACCGAUAGCGCACAAGUAGAGUGAUCGAAAGAUGAAAAGCACUUUGGAAAGAGAGUUAAACAGUACGUGAAAUUGUUGAAAGGGAAGCGCUUGCACCCAGACUUGGGCGCUGCUGAUCACCUUGCGGUCUCCGCGAGUGCACUCGACAGCGCACAGGCCAGCAUCGGUUCGGGUGGCUGGAUAAAGGCCGUAGGAACGUAGCUCCCUUCGGGGAGUGUUAUAGCCUAGGGUGCCAUGCAGCCCAGCCGGACCGAGGACCGCGCCUUCGGGCUAGGAUGCUGGCGUAAUGGGUGUAAGCGACCCGUCUUGAAACACGGACCAAGGAGUCUAACAUCUAUGCGAGUGUUUGGGUGGUAAACCCAUACGCGGAAUGAAAGUGAACGUAGGUGAGAACCCCUUUGGGGCGCAUCAUCGACCGAUCCUGAUGUCUUCGGAUGGAUUUGAG
Molecule: ribosomal RNA, 694 nt
Filed under: Erysiphe ehrenbergii
Lineage: Eukaryota; Fungi; Ascomycota; Leotiomycetes; Helotiales; Erysiphaceae
Description: Erysiphe lonicerae var. ehrenbergii partial large subunit ribosomal RNA
Rfam family: Eukaryotic large subunit ribosomal RNA
Source: RNAcentral